Molecule: long non-coding RNA, 732 nt
Organism: Drosophila miranda
Lineage: Eukaryota; Metazoa; Arthropoda; Insecta; Diptera; Drosophilidae
Exons: 2
Source: RefSeq, a predicted model, not a curated record
GGAUAUGGUAUUUACAUAUCUAAUUUGAGGUGCUAUGCUUCUAAUCUGUUUUGUCCGUGAAAUUGAUUGGUUGGAAAAAACUAACUAACUCACUGCAUCUCCCAUUGGUACCAUGGCAACAGUAAGAUGUAACACCUCUGAGGAGGACGAGGACCAGCAAAGCACUCGCAAAAUUCAUCUUCGGUCUAUGCCGCGACGACGGCAAUUGUUGGUCGGUAGGGUUAUACGAUAAUAUAAUGUAUAUAAUAUAAACUAAAAUAGUUGUUAGGCCAAUCAAUCCAUCUUCUGGCUAUGGUAGUAAUCUAUUUUGGCAUGCUUCAAAUGUUUUGUGCCCUUGAAAUUGAUUUGUAGAAAAAAACUAAAACGAAAUUUGAAAAACGAGCGAGAAGGUUGGGAGAUGGGCUCGCAAACGCAGCCUUUUGGGAGUUACACAUAUCCACUUUUGGCACAAAUCGAACUCCAAAUCCACUUUUUGAUAAUCGUAUUGAGAAAAACGCAGAUUGGCCAUCUCGGACUCGAGAUGUAGUUGCUCAGGGGUGGGGCCCCAUGCUGUGGUCUUCGGGAUGGUCUUCUUGACAGCAAGCGUUUGACGCCAUUUCCGUAGUAUGCACCUUCCAAGAUGCUAAGUUAAGUAGUAAAGUCCAGUAAGCCACUAAAGACAUGCAGCGCUCGUGAGUAAAAGCGGAGAUUCACUCACAGGACUGGCGAAAUCUACAAUAUACGAUGGAUACA